Molecule: ribosomal RNA, 254 nt
Filed under: uncultured bacterium
Lineage: Bacteria
Description: partial 16S ribosomal RNA
Rfam family: Bacterial small subunit ribosomal RNA
Source: RNAcentral
UACGGGGGGAGCAAGCGUUGUUCGGAUUUACUGGGCGUAAAGGGCGCGUAGGCGGUCAGUGCAAGUCAGUUGUGAAAUCUCCGGGCUUAACUCGGAAAGGUCAACUGAUACUGCUCGACUAGAGUGCGGAAGGGGCAACUGGAAUUCUUGGUGUAGCGGUGAAAUGCGUAGAUAUCAAGAGGAACACCUGCGGCGAAGGCGGGUUGCUGGGCCGACACUGACGCUGAAGUGCGAAAGCCAGGGGAGCGAACGGG